GACGAACGCUGGCGGCGUGCUUAACACAUGCAAGUCGAACGGAAAGGCCCUGCUUUUGUGGGGUGCUCGAGUGGCGAACGGGUGAGUAACACGUGAGUAACCUGCCCUUGACUUUGGGAUAACUUCAGGAAACUGGGGCUAAUACCGGAUAGGAGCUCCUGCUGCAUGGUGGGGGUUGGAAAGUUUCGGCGGUUGGGGAUGGGCUCGCGGCUUAUCAGCUUGUUGGUGGGGUAGUGGCUUACCAAGGCUUUGACGGGUAGCCGGCCUGAGAGGGUGACCGGCCACAUUGGGCCUGAGAUACGGCCCAGACUCCUACGGGAGGCAGCAGUGGGGAAUAUUGCACAAUGGGCGGAAGCCUGAUGCAGCAACGCCGCGUGCGGGAUGACGGCCUUCGGGUUGUAAACCGCUUUCGCCUGUGACGAAGCGUGAGUGACGGUAAUGGGUAAAGAAGCACCGGCUAACUACGUG
Molecule: ribosomal RNA, 468 nt
Filed under: uncultured bacterium
Lineage: Bacteria
Description: partial 16S ribosomal RNA
Rfam family: Bacterial small subunit ribosomal RNA
Source: RNAcentral